AUUGAACGCUGGCGGCAUGCCUUACACAUGCAAGUCGAACGGUAACAGGUCUUCGGAUGCUGACGAGUGGCGAACGGGUGAGUAAUACAUCGGAACGUGCCCGAUCGUGGGGGAUAACGCAGCGAAAGCUGUGCUAAUACCGCAUACGAUCUACGGCUGAAAGCGGGGGAUCGCAAGACCUCGCGCGGGCGGGGCGGCCGAUGGCAGAUUAGGUAGUUGGUGGGAUAAAAGCUUACCAAGCCGACGAUCUGUAGCUGGUCUGAGAGGACGAGCAGCCACACUGGGACUGAGGCACGGCCCAGACUCCUACGGGAAGCAGCAGUGGGGAAUUUUGGACAAUGGGCGCAAGCCUGAUCCAGCCAUGCCGCGUGCAGGAUGAAGGCCUUCGGGUUGUAAACUGCUUUUGUACGGAACGAAAAAGCUCUCUCUAAUACAGGGGGUGAAUGACGGUACCGUAAGAAUAAGCACCGGCUAACUACGUG
RNAcentral lists this ribosomal RNA (482 nucleotides) under uncultured bacterium. RNAcentral's name for it is "partial 16S ribosomal RNA". It matches the Rfam family "Bacterial small subunit ribosomal RNA", at positions 30 to 507 of the family's 1533-position model. The record is from RNAcentral.